RNAcentral lists this ribosomal RNA (253 nucleotides) under uncultured bacterium. RNAcentral describes it as "partial 16S ribosomal RNA". It matches the Rfam family "Bacterial small subunit ribosomal RNA", at positions 524 to 776 of the family's 1533-position model. The record is from RNAcentral.
UACGUAGGGGGCAAGCGUUGUCCGGAAUCAUUGGGCGUAAAGCGCGUGUAGGCGGCCCGGUAAGUCCGCUGUGAAAGUCGGGGGCUCAACCCUCGAAUGCCGGUGGAUACUGUCGGGCUAGAGUGCGGGAGAGGCGAGUGGAAUUCCUGGUGUAGCGGUGAAAUGCGCAGAUAUCAGGAGGAACACCAAUUGCGAAGGCAGCUCGCUGGAACGUAACUGACGCUGAGACGCGAAAGCGUGGGAAGCAAACAGG